CACGUAGGCGGAUUAUUAAGUCAGGGGUGAAAUCCCAGGGCUCAACCCUGGAACUGCCUUUGAUACUGGUAGUCUUGAGUACGAGAGAGGUGAGUGGAAUUCCGAGUGUAGAGGUGAAAUUCGUAGAUAUUCGGAAGAACACCAGUGGCGAAGGCGGCUCACUGGCUCGUAACUGACGCUGAGGUGCGAAAGCGUGGGGAGCAAACA
RNAcentral lists this ribosomal RNA (207 nucleotides) under uncultured bacterium. Its description in RNAcentral is "partial 16S ribosomal RNA". It matches the Rfam family "Bacterial small subunit ribosomal RNA", at positions 568 to 774 of the family's 1533-position model. The record is from RNAcentral.